GAAGGGAUAAGGGGAUUAUUACCCCUAUUAUUGUUUUUCGAAGAAUAGAGGUGGGCGCAAGCAAGGACACGAAAAAAGAAAAUAAAGAGGGCAACUCACGGUGACGGCUGAAGGGGAUUGGAGGAACUAAAGAAAAUUGUCAAGCAACCUCACAAGCACCUCUAGUUAUACUUACGGCAAUUCGAAUCAGAAAAAGAAAAACAAGCUACCAAGCAGGCACGUCUCAAAAGUCAAAAGAAUUAAUAAGUAGGCUCGCAGGCACGUGAAUUAAUUUAAAGAGGGAGGCUAGUAGCUUAAUUUUUAUUUCUUUUCAUGAUGAACCGUGAUUUUGGUUGUGUUUUUGUUUCGUUCUUGAUCAUGAGUAGCUAGACUUUUCAUGCUACCUAGGUCUAGAUGAACUAUGACUUAAUGUUUUGAUUAUUUUGUUUGGACUAAUGAUUAAAUUGAGAUGAUUUACAUAUUCCUGUGA
This 469-nucleotide long non-coding RNA is filed under the name Helianthus annuus (common sunflower). RNAcentral describes it as "sRNA HanXRQr2_Chr11g0495871". Lineage: Eukaryota; Viridiplantae; Streptophyta; Magnoliopsida; Asterales; Asteraceae. The record is from RNAcentral.